This is a long non-coding RNA of Melanotaenia boesemani (Boeseman's rainbowfish), 463 nucleotides long. RefSeq lists it as uncharacterized. NCBI's taxonomy places the organism in Eukaryota, Metazoa, Chordata, Actinopteri, Atheriniformes, Melanotaeniidae. The transcript has 5 exons. The record is from RefSeq and is a predicted model, not a curated record.
GAAAUAUAUAACACAAGGAUCCUCAACCGGUCAGCCCUAUAUCUGAGACCAAAGGUGAGUAAGCAUGUCAUAUGAAGUUGUUAGUAGAUUUGAGUAGAUUUUUACAGCAUACUUUUUAUGGCAGAACAACAAUAUUGGGUUUUCUUUUCUCAGGUGUCCUUUGGUCCUUUCUCAGCCCUUUGGUCUGCUUUUGCUGAGUUAUAAAAGUGCUAUAAAAACACUACUUACUAUUUAAACAAUUGUUUUUUGAUAGGAGCCUCUUGGGCGGGUGGAAGAACAGCCCCGUGGAGAACACUGUGAUGAAAAUCUGGAGGAGGCCGAACGAGAUACCCAGGAGAGAGAUGACAAUCUGGAGGAAUCUCAAGAAGAUUCCCUGGAGGCAGAAUGCAAUGACGAGCUGGAGGAGGCCGGAACAGAUCCUCCGGAGCCAGAUAAUGAUGUUGAGGAAAUACCAGAUGAUGUA